AUCGCGUAUAGGCGGUCGUCGGCCGUGA
RNAcentral lists this small RNA (28 nucleotides) under Bombyx mori (domestic silkworm). Its description in RNAcentral is "ovarian small RNA-12498". Lineage: Eukaryota; Metazoa; Arthropoda; Insecta; Lepidoptera; Bombycidae. The record is from RNAcentral.